This 285-nucleotide long non-coding RNA is filed under the name Homo sapiens (human). RNAcentral describes it as "HSALNT0119939". The record is from RNAcentral. Lineage: Eukaryota; Metazoa; Chordata; Mammalia; Primates; Hominidae.
AAAAGGAAGCUUGUCUGAGCCUAAAGAAAGAGCUGUGUACAGGAGGGGUGUUGUCAUAGAAAGCAAUUUACACAGGAGAAUGAGGACAGUUUUGUGUUCAGGAGUUACAGAAAGGACACUUUUUAAAAGCUCGUUUCAGAGACUAACAAAACAAGGCUGAUUGACUUUAGAUUUGAGUUACUCGAAUUUGGUGCAUCCAAUUCAGUGAACCUGUCUGCCAAGCUAUCAGAUGGAGAAGAUAACCUGGGGAUGAUGUACCCCUUGAAGCGAAGUUACCAUAGCAUC